GACGAACGCUGGCGGCGUGCUUAACACAUGCAAGUCGAACGGAAAGGCCCUGCUUUUGUGGGGUGCUCGAGUGGCGAACGGGUGAGUAACACGUGAGUAACCUGCCCUUGACUUUGGGAUAACUUCAGGAAACUGGGGCUAAUACCGGAUAGGAGCUCCUGCUGCAUGGUGGGGGUUGGAAAGUUUCGGCGGUUGGGGAUGGACUCGCGGCUUAUCAGCUUGUUGGUGGGGUAGUGGCUUACCAAGGCUUUGACGGGUAGCCGGCCUGAGAGGGUGACCGGGGUGGAGGAGACUAAGAAAGGGGCGAGGGGGCGAUGGGAGGGCGGGGGGGGGGAGGUGGCGGAGUGGAGGGGGGGGUGAGGCAGGAGCGACGGGGGCGGGAGGGGGGGGAUGGGGUUGGAAAAAGCGUACGCAGGUGACGAGGAGGGGGGGAGGGGAAUGGAAAAAGGAGCAACGGCGGACUACGUG
Molecule: ribosomal RNA, 468 nt
Filed under: uncultured bacterium
Lineage: Bacteria
Description: partial 16S ribosomal RNA
Rfam family: Bacterial small subunit ribosomal RNA (bases 20-330)
Source: RNAcentral